RNAcentral lists this ribosomal RNA (1554 nucleotides) under Escherichia coli. RNAcentral's name for it is "bacterial SSU rRNA". It matches the Rfam family "Bacterial small subunit ribosomal RNA". The record is from RNAcentral. Lineage: Bacteria; Pseudomonadati; Pseudomonadota; Gammaproteobacteria; Enterobacterales; Enterobacteriaceae.
AAAUUGAAGAGUUUGAUCAUGGCUCAGAUUGAACGCUGGCGGCAGGCCUAACACAUGCAAGUCGAACGGUAACAGAAAGCAGCUUGCUGCUUUGCUGACGAGUGGCGGACGGGUGAGUAAUGUCUGGGAAACUGCCUGAUGGAGGGGGAUAACUACUGGAAACGGUAGCUAAUACCGCAUAACGUCGCAAGACCAAAGAGGGGGACCUUCGGGCCUCUUGCCAUCGGAUGUGCCCAGAUGGGAUUAGCUUGUUGGUGGGGUAACGGCUCACCAAGGCGACGAUCCCUAGCUGGUCUGAGAGGAUGACCAGCCACACUGGAACUGAGACACGGUCCAGACUCCUACGGGAGGCAGCAGUGGGGAAUAUUGCACAAUGGGCGCAAGCCUGAUGCAGCCAUGCCGCGUGUAUGAAGAAGGCCUUCGGGUUGUAAAGUACUUUCAGCGGGGAGGAAGGGAGUAAAGUUAAUACCUUUACUCAUUGACGUUACCCGCAGAAGAAGCACCGGCUAACUCCGUGCCAGCAGCCGCGGUAAUACGGAGGGUGCAAGCGUUAAUCGGAAUUACUGGGCGUAAAGCGCACGCAGGCGGUUUGUUAAGUCAGAUGUGAAAUCCCCGGGCUCAACCUGGGAACUGCAUCUGAUACUGGCAAGCUUGAGUCUCGUAGAGGGGGGUAGAAUUCCAGGUGUAGCGGUGAAAUGCGUAGAGAUCUGGAGGAAUACCGGUGGCGAAGGCGGCCCCCUGGACGAAGACUGACGCUCAGGUGCGAAAGCGUGGGGAGCAAACAGGAUUAGAUACCCUGGUAGUCCACGCCGUAAACGAUGUCGACUUGGAGGUUGUGCCCUUGAGGCGUGGCUUCCGGAGCUAACGCGUUAAGUCGACCGCCUGGGGAGUACGGCCGCAAGGUUAAAACUCAAAUGAAUUGACGGGGGCCCGCACAAGCGGUGGAGCAUGUGGUUUAAUUCGAUGCAACGCGAAGAACCUUACCUGGUCUUGACAUCCACAGAACUUUCCAGAGAUGGAUUGGUGCCUUCGGGAACUGUGAGACAGGUGCUGCAUGGCUGUCGUCAGCUCGUGUUGUGAAAUGUUGGGUUAAGUCCCGCAACGAGCGCAACCCUUAUCCUUUGUUGCCAGCGGUCCGGCCGGGAACUCAAAGGAGACUGCCAGUGAUAAACUGGAGGAAGGUGGGGAUGACGUCAAGUCAUCAUGGCCCUUACGACCAGGGCUACACACGUGCUACAAUGGCGCAUACAAAGAGAAGCGACCUCGCGAGAGCAAGCGGACCUCAUAAAGUGCGUCGUAGUCCGGAUUGGAGUCUGCAACUCGACUCCAUGAAGUCGGAAUCGCUAGUAAUCGUGGAUCAGAAUGCCACGGUGAAUACGUUCCCGGGCCUUGUACACACCGCCCGUCACACCAUGGGAGUGGGUUGCAAAAGAAGUAGGUAGCUUAACCUUCGGGAGGGCGCUUACCACUUUGUGAUUCAUGACUGGGGUGAAGUCGUAACAAGGUAACCGUAGGGGAACCUGCGGUUGGAUCACCUCCUUACCUUAAAGAAGC